Melitaea cinxia (Glanville fritillary) is the source of this 238-nucleotide long non-coding RNA. RefSeq lists it as uncharacterized. The record is from RefSeq and is a predicted model, not a curated record. Lineage: Eukaryota; Metazoa; Arthropoda; Insecta; Lepidoptera; Nymphalidae. The transcript has 2 exons.
CGCCAUAUUAUAUUGCAACCACCGAGUAACCAUGCCCGGAAUUUUGGAUUUUUAGUUUUUUCUGCAUAUAUAUUUUCUGAGCCCUAAUACUUUAUUGUGAGAAUAUUAUUCGUCGCUUCUAGGGAUUUACUAUGGAAAAUACAGUGAAACAUAAUGUGAAGAGAUAUCAAAAAUGUACUAUUUGUGGUCUAAAGAGGACCCCUGGACUGGAGCCAAUGUAUUUUUGAAGAAGUUUCCA